CCCAGGUGAAGUGGUGUAUACCUGUAAUCCCAGCACCUUGGGAGGCUGAGGCAGGAGGAUCACAAGUACAAGUUCAACCUCAGCAACUUGGUGAGAACCUAUCUCAA
This 107-nucleotide small RNA is filed under the name Marmota monax (woodchuck). Lineage: Eukaryota; Metazoa; Chordata; Mammalia; Rodentia; Sciuridae. The record is from RNAcentral.